UGUGAUGAUAAGAUGCCUCUUUUGUAAUAAUCAUGUUGUCACAGUGGGAUGUUGAGUUCAUGUAGUACAUGUUAACCUUUUACGUAUUUGUUUGACUUUACAGAAGAUGAUACUCAGUUUGACUGUGGCUGCCCUCUUUGACAGUGUAGCAUAUGUCAUGGUAAGUUUCUCUUGUUUUCUUAAGUAAAUGUUCAUUGUGUGUGUAUGUUUUAUUUAUUUUUUCAUGUCUGUGUUUCUCCUCAGGGGGAAUCUCAUCCACAGGGAUCUCUGUGUAGCUUUCAAGCCUGGUGGCUGACAUACUUUGACUGGAGUGCCUUGGUUUGGGUUUGCCUGAUCACACUGAACCUGUACCUGAACCUGGUUAGAGAGAUAAGCACCAUUAGAUAUGAGAUGUUGUACCAUCUGAUGGCGUGGGGUGUGCCUUUGGUCAUGGCCUCUUUGCCGCUGCUCAAGGGUUAUUACGGCCCUGCAGGACCCUGGUGCUGGAUCACAGCCGAUCACGUAGCCUGGAGAUUUGGGAUAUGGUACGUGCCUCUUUUCAGCCUCAUUAUCCUGAUGAUGUGCUGCUAUGGCAGGAUCAUCUGUGUGGCCAAUCAGCGGGUUUCCUUGGCAGAGGAGAUCAAGCCAUUGAAGUGGUAUCCAUCUGUAUAUCUGCUGGUUUCCAUCUUUCCUCUCAUCAACAGACUGCAUAAUGUCCUCUACCCUCAGAACCCAUUCUUCUCCCUCACAUUGUUGCACGUCCUGUCAGCACCACUCCAUGGCUUGGCCAAUGCUUUUGUCUUUGGCUUGGAUAGAGAAUGGUGGAGCCUUGUGAGCCCAACUGGCAUGCAGCUGGCUCUGCAGUCUCGGCUCUGUGACAGGACUCGAAUCGGAGAGUACCACCCUGGAGCGGUACGCUACACGCAGGCUGACCUUGUGGACCACAGCGAUGACGAUGACGAUGACACCAACGUUCUCUUCUACUCACCUGACAUGACCCUGAAAGACCGAGGGCCCUGAGAGAGAACCGUGGAAUAGGAGAGAGGAAGCAGGGAGACAAAGAGACGACGCAAAGGAGCACGAAGAAGGGUCACAGCCAGGGAGAAACACGACGGAUUAGAAACUGAGAGGCAGGAAAAAGAGGUAGGGAGGGAAUGGAGGAGAAGAUUGGGAGGACAUUCAGGCAGAUAGGAGCCGGAGAUGAGCUGUCAGGUUCCAUUAUUAAUCCCCAUCCUUUACUAUUUAAUAUCCUAAAGACGCACACAGCACACAUACUGAGCAGAGCAGCAGCUCACUGCAAUGCUGCCCACUCUAAAGACCCCUCUAAUGUUAGAGUCAUCUGCUGCAGUGCAAAGGUCUAGAAACCUAAUCUUCUUUUCUUUUCUGUUUUUUUCUCACCAUUUUCCUAAUCCUGUGUUGUGUCGUAUUUGGUCUCCAAGACAGGAAAUAGAUCAAGAAAAAACAACAUGUUGUUUUUAGCUUGAGCAACAAUUCUCUGCAGUAGAUGUGUUGAAAAGCAGAUAUUUAAAAGGAACUCUAAGCGAAGAAUGCAAAAAGAUAAAAUUAAAUGAUAGGAAAUCAGGCAUAGGAUGUAUUGAAAGAAAAUCAAUCUGACCACUAAAAGUCACUCCAAAAAAGUGCUGGUUUUUUUUAAAAGCAUUUGUUUUACAGCUAAUUGUGGCCAUCAGAGUUUUUUUUUUUUUUACAAAAGUUUGAAUUUUUUGUUCUUUUUUUAUUACCAUUAGACUUGUUCGUUAUACUAUAUUUAUGAGAUCAAUACUGUGUGUAUAUAUGUGAAAGUUCUAUUUUUGUACGUGCCUGAGACGAGAAAUUUAAAGAAAUCUUCAAAUCCAAGCCUGACAUCGUCACGUGACAGACAAGCACGGCAUCAUUCACAGCACACACACCGUCACAAUCCACGGGAGGAAAAGGGAAAAAAAAGCAGCCAUUAGUCAAACAUGUUCCCACGCACACACUCAGGCAGGUUUCAAAGGUGCUUGUCAAAACAGGUUGGAAAAGAUGACACACACUGCGACACCCACGGCGCAGCAUCAGCUUUGAUGGUUCAUCAUCUCGUGGCCUUUUGUCAGUCGUCGCUGAGCGGACAGCUGAGGUGUGAUUGGCAGGAUAAUGGAGCCACUUUAUAUUCAACCACAGCCAGCUUAGUUUUUCAACAUCCAGGUGGGUACCAUGGUGGUGGUUGAUGGGCGCUGUCCUCCAUGCAGCUGUCAGCCACCGCCCCUCUGACAGGGUGAACUAAUGAACUGACAUUUGACACCCCCCACCCCUAAGGUUUCAGACUUAUCAUUGGGUGUCUGUGGCACCCCAAUACAACUUGGGUUUGCAAUACGACACUAAAAUGCAACGCGCACUCAUUUCCAUAAUAUCUGGCACUGUUGCUGGUUGUACUCGACUGUGCACUCCAUCAAAUAAAUGAGCAGCACAGACAUUUCA
Gouania willdenowi (blunt-snouted clingfish) is the source of this 2433-nucleotide long non-coding RNA. Ensembl annotates it as cyclic AMP receptor-like protein A. The record is from Ensembl. NCBI's taxonomy places the organism in Eukaryota, Metazoa, Chordata, Actinopteri, Blenniiformes, Gobiesocidae.